Molecule: ribosomal RNA, 369 nt
Filed under: Pseudoalteromonas sp.
Lineage: Bacteria; Pseudomonadati; Pseudomonadota; Gammaproteobacteria; Alteromonadales; Pseudoalteromonadaceae
Description: bacterial SSU rRNA
Rfam family: Bacterial small subunit ribosomal RNA
Source: RNAcentral
GCUUGGGAACAUGCCUUGAGGUGGGGGACAACAGUUGGAAACGACUGCUAAUACCGCAUAAUGUCUACGGACCAAAGGGGGCUUCGGCUCUCGCCUUUAGAUUGGCCCAAGUGGGAUUAGCUAGUUGGUGAGGUAAUGGCUCACCAAGGCGACGAUCCCUAGCUGGUUUGAGAGGAUGAUCAGCCACACUGGGACUGAGACACGGCCCAGACUCCUACGGGAGGCAGCAGUGGGGAAUAUUGCACAAUGGGCGCAAGCCUGAUGCAGCCAUGCCGCGUGUGUGAAGAAGGCCUUCGGGUUGUAAAGCACUUUCAGUCAGGAGGAAAGGGUGGUGGUUAAUACCCGUCAUGUGUGACGUUACUGACAGAA